UUAGAAAAGAACAAGUCCCCUUGAAGUUAAGAGGGUUAGAAAAGCAAGUCUCCUUUAACGUAGUUAAUUACCUAUAGUAAGGGUCUCUACGGAGAAUCUUGAGUCUUGUGUAGGCCACCUAACGCUGGUUUUUGAGGUAACAAAAAAGUGCUAGUGGGAAGAAGUACACCCAUGUGGAUACUUGUUUGAUAAGAUGCCGACUCCUUUCCAU
Molecule: long non-coding RNA, 211 nt
Filed under: Musa acuminata (dwarf banana)
Lineage: Eukaryota; Viridiplantae; Streptophyta; Magnoliopsida; Zingiberales; Musaceae
Description: long non-coding RNA (MACU_LNC007786)
Source: RNAcentral